GAUGAACGCUGGCGGCGUGCCUAAUACAUGCAAGUCGAACGGAAAGGCCAUGCUCUUGCGCGGUGCACGAUUGCCGAACGGGUGAGAAACACGCGAGUAUCCUGUCCCUGUAAUUGGGAUAUCUCUUGGAAACUGGGGCUAUUAUCCCAUAUGAUCUCUUGCUCCACGGUGGUGGAUGGUAAGAUUCGGCGGUUGGGGCUGUUCUCGCUGCUUACCGGCCUGUUGGUCUGGUAGUGGCGUUCCAAGGCUUUGACGGGUAGCCGGCCUGAGAGGGUGAACAGCCACAUUGGGACUGAGGUACGGCCCAGACUCCUACGGGAGGCAGCGGUGGGGAAUAUUGCGCAAUAGGCGGAAGCCUGAUGCAGCAACGCCGCGUGCGGGAUGACGGCCUUCGGGUUGUAAACCGCUUUCGCCUGUGACGAGGCGUGAGUGACGGUAAUGAAUAAGGAAGCAACGGCUAACUACGUG
This 468-nucleotide ribosomal RNA is filed under the name uncultured bacterium. RNAcentral's name for it is "partial 16S ribosomal RNA". It matches the Rfam family "Bacterial small subunit ribosomal RNA", at positions 28 to 507 of the family's 1533-position model. The record is from RNAcentral.